RNAcentral lists this ribosomal RNA (466 nucleotides) under uncultured bacterium. RNAcentral describes it as "partial 16S ribosomal RNA". It matches the Rfam family "Bacterial small subunit ribosomal RNA", at positions 28 to 507 of the family's 1533-position model. The record is from RNAcentral.
GACGAACGCUGGCGGCGUGCUUAACACAUGCAAGUCGAACGGUAAGGCUCUAGCUUGCUGGGGUGCACGAGUGGCGAACGGGUGAGUAACACGUGGGUGACCUGCCCUUCACUUCGGGAUAAGCCUAGGAAACUGGGUCUAAUACCGGAUAGGACCAUGUGCUGGAUGCUGUGGGGGAAAGAUUUUUCGGUGUGGGAUGGGCCCGCGGCCUAUCAGCUUGUUGGUGGGGUAGUGGCCUACCAAGGCGGCGACGGGUAGCCGGCCUGAGAGGGUGGACGGCCACAUUGGGACUGAGACACGGCCCAGACUCCUACGGGAGGCAGCAGUGGGGAAUAUUGCACAAUGGGCGGAAGCCUGAUGCAGCGACGCCGCGUGGGGGAUGACGGCCUUCGGGUUGUAAACUGCUUUCGCCUUCGACGAAGGGUUUCUGACGGUAGAUGGAGAAGAAGCACCGGCUAACUACGUG